This 552-nucleotide small RNA is filed under the name Heterotextus miltinus. Its description in RNAcentral is "eukaryotic LSU rRNA". The stretch from base 162 to 315 matches the Rfam family "5.8S ribosomal RNA". The record is from RNAcentral. Lineage: Eukaryota; Fungi; Basidiomycota; Dacrymycetes; Dacrymycetales; Dacrymycetaceae.
UCGUAACAAGGUUUCCGUAGGUGAACCUGCGGAAGGAUCAUUAACGAAGUAAUUAACAAUUCUUCUUAAUUCAAACCCCUGUGAACCGUCGUCCUUAGGACGCUUUAUAUACAAACUCUAGUGUUGUCUAUGUAUGUCUUUGUUUAAUCAUAACAAAAUAUAACUUUUAACAACGGAUCUCUUGGCUCUCGCAUCGAUGAAGAACGCAGCGAAAUGCGAUAAGUAAUGUGAAUUGCAGAAUUCAGUGAAUCAUCGAAUCUUUGAACGCACCUUGCGCUCUCUGGUAUUCCGGAGAGCAUGCCUGUUUGAGCGCCUUAUUAUUAUUGACCGAGCCGUCCCGGGGCGACUCUGCGCAGAUUUGGGUGUUUUGCAGGCCCUUGUGGCCAGCUCGCCUUGAAAGUAUCAGUAGAGUACUAAGACUCGAAAGAACGUAAUAAGUAUUUCGUUUGUUCUUGUCUGUGGACUCGCUUCAAACCAUCGGUCCCAACGAAAAUAUACCAAUUGCUAGGCAUCAAAUCAGGUAGGAUUACCCGCUGAACUUAAGCAUAUCAA